GAGAGACAGAGUGAGUUUGAGGAAAAACAGAGAGUGAGUUUGAGGAAAAAUAGAGAGGGCCGAGAGUUGCAAAGGGAGGCCGGAAACUUGGUGGCUUGAUGAUCCAGUGCAUGAAUUCUUUUUCAGUGUAGGGUUCUCUAUACCUUGAAUGUUUCAGGUACCGAAGAUGGACGGGAAUUGCUAGAUUCGGGCUUAGGUUGAAGAGUUGGCGUUGCAGGAAUUUAUUUUUUUUAUUUGGAGAUUUUUUUUUGUAUUUGAGGAAAUUAACUUUGUAUAAAAGAGGGGGUAAUUUUUAUGAUCUUGGGUAUAUUUUGAUGUAUUUAAAUUGAAUAAAUCGAGGAUUUUAUUGGAAUUGUCGGGGCGUGACAAAAUGGUAUCAGAGCUUGCACCCAGUCGGAAGUGUGAGUGUAGUGAUGAUGUAGACGGGUGUGAGUGGGCGAGUGUGUAGUACUGGUUAACUACCACUUGUAGCCGGGUGUGUGUGGGCGGAUGGCGUUCACCGGCAGCUACUGUGAUGUUUAGUUGGUGUGGUUAGGCAGGUAGCCCAGAUUUGUUGUUUUUUUAGUGGGUGGGCGGGUGACUCAUCGACUAGCUACCACAACGGUUACGGAGUGUGUGGGCGGGUGACUAGCACUGUCAGUUACCACAACGUCCUACAUAUCACUGUAUCUCACAUCGCCUGGGUUAAGGAUUUAUGGAUUUGGUUUUGUGAUUAGUGAUAUUUUUGGGUACAUGGACUGUUGAAUCUGAAUUUUUAAGUGGUAGAGAUUGUGAUAACCCGAUUUUUUUUUUUUUUUUUAUAAUUUAUAAUUAUUUUUUUAUAUAGUUUAGUGGAGGUGUAAUAAUAGUUUUAUUUAUUUAUUUAUUUAUUUAUUAUUAUUUUUUUUAUAGUUUAUAUGUGUGUGAGAGAGAUUUGUCUACUAAAAGUGAAGGUGCCGAAAUGAGAAAAGAGAAACGAAAGUGGGGCGGGUCCCACGGGUUGAUUUUAUACCUAAAAUUUCUUUGGUUUUAGUGUUGUGCACGUAGGCUACUUUUGUGGUGGUUUGGAGAUAUGAUAUAUAUGAAGAUUUCAAAGGCUUCAUUAAUUUUGUGCCAGUGUAUAUAGGAUAUAUCUAUAUAUAUAUAUAUAUAUAUAUAUAUAUUUAUAAGUAAUCUGAAGGAAAAGGAGCAGGUGGUAGAAUUGAAAAGAAGAAAUAAAGAAUUGGCGGGCCCACAAGAGAUAGAGAUUGAGUAAUGGUUUGUAAUUGUUGACUUUUGUGUGCAUGCAUUAGGCUGGCAUAGUUUUAAUUGUUCACAUGGGUGGUCUGUCUGGGUUUGUCUGAUGGAGGUGUGAUGGGUGAGCUGUUUAUUUUGAGCCGGUGGUUUUGCCUAUAAAUUAGGCUUGUGAUUUUGGUACAAAGACAGAAGAAAAAUCAAAAAGAGAGACAGAGUGAGUUUGAGGAAAAACAGAGAGUGAGUUUGAGGAAAAACAGAGAGGGCCGAGAGUUGCAAAGAGAGGUUGGAAACUUGGUGGCUUGAUGAUCCAGUGCAUGAAUUCUUUUUCAGUGUAGGGUUCUCUAUACCUUGAAUGGCAUAGGGAAGUUUUGCUUUAAUGUUUUUAUUAAAUGUUUUUAAUUAAAUGCAUAUGUAUUAAAUGUAUAUGUUUAUGUUGUGAAACUGUUUUAUUAAACCUCCAUGGAAUUCUUGUUAUGGUUUUUCCUAUUGGAACUUUUUGUCUCACCACCCUCCAGUUUCAGGUAUCGAAGAUGGACGGGAAUUGCUAGAUUCGGGCUUAGGUUGAAGAGUUGGCGUUGCAGGAAUUUAUUUUUUUUUAUUUGGAGAUUUUUUUUGUGUAUUUGAGGAAAUUAACUUUGUAUAAAAGAGGGGGUAAUUUUUAUGAUCCUGGGUAUAUUUUGAUGUAUUUAAAUUGAAUAAAUCGAAGAUUUUAUUGGAAUUGUUGGGGCGUGACAAUAGUACCCGCGGGUACUGUUCCCCGGGCCCAAAAAAAAAAAAAAAUUGAUAUUCCCAAAGCUAGACAAGCAAGCUUGGGAAUGGGGAGCAACUGAUAGGGAAAAAUAACCUACUUUGAUCAGCCGCCAGACCUCUUCCACAUAUUUCAUUAUCAGAGAUAAAGAUUUUCCUUAGAUAAGAAUGAUGACAUUUCUUAUCCAGGAUAAUAAAUGACGACGUGGUUCAACAGGGUGAGGAUAACCUUGGCACAAUUUGAGGAAGUCAAAAGAGUAAAUCUUAUCCCCACAAAUCUGGCAACAAUCGAUCUCCUCUGAUCUCGCACAAGCUGAUCUCCCGCGGGAUCAAUCUAAUUCCAAUUGACAGCCAUAAAUAGGGCACCAAGCUGUUAAAGAAGGUACGAGAAGAAACCCCUAAACAGAAUAUACAUAAUUAUUAUGUGAUACGAUUACAAGUACUAACUUGAUUGUCGGAGGGUCCUCGGCCGGCACCCUACCAGUGCCAUUCAAGGUGACUUCCCUUUGUUUUGCAGGUAAACGCCGUCGUUCCGAUUCGUGAGGAUUUCCGCAUCAACAGCUUUAUUAUUAUUAUUAUUAUUAUUAUUUUAAUUCUAAAAUUCUUUUUAAAAUUCUUAUAUUGAUAGGUUUUCUCUUUUAUAUAUAUAUAUGGCAAAAUUUAGCAUUCAUGAAUUAAAUUUUAAAAUUCUUUUUGUUCUUUCGUCAAAGUCAUGUCCUCCUAAAAUGGGUUAAGUAAGCCCUGUUUGCCAACUAUUUCGUCGUUGUUAUUAUUAUUAUUUGCUUCCAUAGCACAUAGAGAAGUAAAAUAUGGAACCUGCGAUUUAAAUAAUAGUGAAAUGUUAAAAAUAAUAAAAAAAAAAUCAAAAUCAGAAGUACCAAAUUAGUGUUGGUAUUUAUUGUUGCUUCCGCAUUGUAGUAAAAAUAUUAUAGCAAUCAACAAUAAUAUAAUAAAAUAAAAUAAAAUAAAUAAUAAUAAUAAUAAAAACUCUUAAAUAACCUUUCUAACGAGUUAUUUUUAUUUUUCAAACUUAUAACACUUUUAACCAAACAUGUUUUCAUGUAUUUUUUUUAAAAAAAUAUCUUACAAUAAAUAUAACAUUACCAAAAAUGCUUCCAAUUAGUAUUAAACAAACUCCAUAUAAAAAAUAUAAAAAAUAAAUAAAUAAAUAAUAUUUACUUUUCAAAAAAUUUGAUGCUUAUACAGUCAUGUACAAAUUACAAUUACAAGCAUUGCCACCGCGACCACUGCGAUAGAAGAGAAGUGUGUACUUCGGUUUCAUAAAUAUCAUAAAUGUGUUGCUUGAUUUAUAACUAUUCAUAAAUUUUGGUUUCAUAAUCAAAUUAAUUCAAAAAAAAAAUAAUAAUAAUGUGUCUAAUAAAUAUAUGUACACGUCAUAAUUGAUUCCAAGGCUACAUGACUUGUGACUUCUAAGGCGUUUGACGGACUUUUCUUUGCAUUAAAUUUGUAGCUAGAAAGGAAGAGGUAGUGGCUGUGAUUUGGUCUUCCUGAACAGUUUAUAAGUUGGUAGGUGCAAUAACUACAACGUUAAUGCUUUACGAAAUGUCCUACGGACCUGCCACGAUAAAAAAUUAAAAAUCCAAGACAUAUGACUAGAAAUCAUAUGUCCAAACAAUGGAAUGUUUAUAUAUAUAUAUAUAUAUGCGGGUAUGCUAUAGACAUUGCAUCUGGAAUGUCAUAUGAAGUUUCAAAGAAAUGGAUUCCCUCUCCUACCUCAUUUGGUGGGGGACCUUCCCACUGUCCCAUGGCACAACCUAGUUUGGAACUCUCCUUCAAUUCCCAGAACGAAGUUCAUACUUUGGUUAGCAGUUCAAUCUAAACUGCUAACUCUUGACAGCAAGUAAAUGUCCAAGCACAUCAAUAUUUGCCCCCUCUGUAAUGAGUCCAUGGCAUCUCAUGAUCACAUUUUCUUAAAUUGCUCUUUUGUCUCUCCAUUAUGGCGUUUCAUCAAAUACAAGUGCAGCAUGUUUACAGCCUUAAGAAGUUGGGAAGCUUUAGUUCAGUGGGCAAGUGCCAAAUGGAAAGCUAAGAAUUCAGGUAAUCUACUCAGAAAAUUGGGGCUUUCAGCGUUUGUGUACCAUACCUGGGAGGAGAGAAAUGCCAAGAUUUUUAGAGGGAAGAAGGCCUCCCAGAGAGCUGUAUGUGCCAAGAUUUGCUCAACCAUCUAUACAAUUCUAAAAUUGGGGUGCCUUUGUGACUGUGCUUCAUCAAGAUCCAUUCUCAAGGAUUGGAACAUUUCGCUGUCUUGUUGCCGUCCUCCUCCAAGGCCACCGGAUUGAGAUUCUGGCGGUUCAGCCGCCUUUCCUUGUUACCUGCCGGAAGUUCUUUUGUUUAUGGCAAUUGUCGUUAAUGGCAGUUACCAUUUUGUUUUCAUGUAUACGUUGAUGGGCCUGCCCAUUUGGGCUUGUUUUUAGCUUGUUUUUUACUACUUUGGGCCAAUGGCCCAUUGUAAAUAUUUCCAUUAAUAAAAAUUGCUUUAAUUUUUGAAAAAAAAAAAAAGAAGAAAA
This is a long non-coding RNA of Cornus florida, 4490 nucleotides long. RefSeq lists it as uncharacterized. The transcript has 2 exons. Lineage: Eukaryota; Viridiplantae; Streptophyta; Magnoliopsida; Cornales; Cornaceae. The record is from RefSeq and is a predicted model, not a curated record.